Molecule: ribosomal RNA, 253 nt
Filed under: uncultured bacterium
Lineage: Bacteria
Description: partial 16S ribosomal RNA
Rfam family: Bacterial small subunit ribosomal RNA
Source: RNAcentral
UACAGAGGUGGCAAGCGUUGUUCGGAAUUACUGGGCGUAAAGGGCGCGUAGGCGGCCAUCUAAGUCAGACGUGAAAUCCCCCGGCUUAACCUGGGAACUGCGUCUGAUACUGGACGGCUUGAGUAUGGGAGAGGGAUGUAGAAUUCCAGGUGUAGCGGUGAAAUGCGUAGAUAUAGGAAGGAACACCAGUGGCGAAGUCGACCACCUGGACUGAUACUGACACUGAGGUGCGAAAGCGUGGGGAGCAAACAGG